Molecule: ribosomal RNA, 571 nt
Filed under: Papiliotrema laurentii
Lineage: Eukaryota; Fungi; Basidiomycota; Tremellomycetes; Tremellales; Rhynchogastremaceae
Description: eukaryotic LSU rRNA
Rfam family: Eukaryotic large subunit ribosomal RNA
Source: RNAcentral
CUCAAAUUUGAAAUCUGGCGUCCUCAGGGCGUCCGAGUUGUAAUCUAUAGAGGCGUUUUCCGUGCCGGACCGUGUCCAAGUUCCUUGGAACAGGAUAUCAAAGAGGGUGACAAUCCCGUACUUGACACGACGACCGGUGCUCUGUGAUACGUCUUCUACGAGUCGAGUUGUUUGGGAAUGCAGCUCAAAAUGGGUGGUGAGUUCCAUCUAAAGCUAAAUAUUGGCGAGAGACCGAUAGCGAACAAGUACCGUGAGGGAAAGAUGAAAAGCACUUUGGAAAGAGAGUUAAACAGUACGUGAAAUUGUUGAAAGGGAAACGAUUGAAGUCAGUCGUGACCGAGAGGCUCAGCCGGUUCUGCCGGUGUAUUCCCCUCGGUCGGGUCAACAUCAGUUUUGUCCGGUGGAUAAGGGCGGUAGGAAGGUGGCACCCUCGGGUGUGUUAUAGCCUGCCGUCGCAUACAUCGGGUGAGACUGAGGAACGCAGCUCGCCUUUAUGGCCGGGGUUCGCCCACGUCCGAGCUUAGGAUGUUGACAUAAUGGCUUUAAACGACCCGUCUUGAAAACACGGGAC